AAAUUGAAGAGUUUGAUCAUGGCUCAGAUUGAACGCUGGCGGCAGGCCUAACACAUGCAAGUCGAACGGUAGCACAGAGAGCUUGCUCUCGGGUGACGAGUGGCGGACGGGUGAGUAACGUCUGGGAAACUGCCCGAUGGAGGGGGAUAACUACUGGAAACGGUAGCUAAUACCGCAUAACGUCGCAAGACCAAAGUGGGGGACCUUCGGGCCUCACACCAUCGGAUGUGCCCAGAUGGGAUUAGCUAGUAGGUGGGGUAAUGGCUCACCUAGGCGACGAUCCCUAGCUGGUCUGAGAGGAUGACCAGCCACACUGGAACUGAGACACGGUCCAGACUCCUACGGGAGGCAGCAGUGGGGAAUAUUGCACAAUGGGCGCAAGCCUGAUGCAGCCAUGCCGCGUGUAUGAAGAAGGCCUUCGGGUUGUAAAGUACUUUCAGCGGGGAGGAAGGCGGUGAAGUUAAUAGCUUCACCGAUUGACGUUACCCGCAGAAGAAGCACCGGCUAACUCCGUGCCAGCAGCCGCGGUAAUACGGAGGGUGCAAGCGUUAAUCGGAAUUACUGGGCGUAAAGCGCACGCAGGCGGUCUGUCAA
This 594-nucleotide ribosomal RNA is filed under the name Pantoea sp. DY-17. Its description in RNAcentral is "bacterial SSU rRNA". It matches the Rfam family "Bacterial small subunit ribosomal RNA", at positions 1 to 586 of the family's 1533-position model. Lineage: Bacteria; Pseudomonadati; Pseudomonadota; Gammaproteobacteria; Enterobacterales; Erwiniaceae. The record is from RNAcentral.